CAGUAGCCAGGUAAUACGGAGGGUGCAAGCGUUAAUCGGAAUUACUGGGCGUAAAGCGCACGCAGGCGGUCUGACAAGUCAGAUGUGAAAUCCCCGGGCUUAACCUGGGAACUGCAUUUGAAACUGUCAGGCUGGAGUCUUGUAGAGGGGGGUGGAAUUCCAGGUGUAGCGGUGAAAUGCGUAGAGAUCUGGAGGAAUACCGGUGGCGAAGGCGGCCCCCUGGACAAAGACUGACGCUCAGGUGCGAAAGCGUGGGGAGCAAACAGGAUUAGAUACCCCUGUAGUCCCUGUCUCUUAUACA
RNAcentral lists this ribosomal RNA (301 nucleotides) under uncultured bacterium. RNAcentral describes it as "partial 16S ribosomal RNA". It matches the Rfam family "Bacterial small subunit ribosomal RNA", at positions 509 to 808 of the family's 1533-position model. The record is from RNAcentral.